GACAGGUUGGCUGAGUGGUUUAAGGCAUUGAUCUGCUAAAUCAAUAUAUUGAAAAAUAUCAUGGGUUCGAAUCCCAUACUUGUCA
RNAcentral lists this transfer RNA (85 nucleotides) under Genlisea aurea. It matches the Rfam family "tRNA". From Rfam's summary of the family: Transfer RNA (tRNA) molecules are approximately 80 nucleotides in length. Their secondary structure includes four short double-helical elements and three loops (D, anti-codon, and T loops). Lineage: Eukaryota; Viridiplantae; Streptophyta; Magnoliopsida; Lamiales; Lentibulariaceae. The record is from Rfam by way of RNAcentral.